AAAUAAAAUAUAAAAAAAAAAGAAAAAGAAAGAAAAAGGGGGCUAGCAAAGUUGUUAGGAACUAAGUAAUGUUUUGAGGUUAUGGAAAAUCCCUUGUAGAUUUCAAAGAGAAGGAGUUAAAGUUCUUAGGAUCUUUUGGUGAGAGAUGUGAGUUGGGUUUGACAUUUGGGAAUGAUUGUGUAAUUGUAUGUUUGGGAAAAAGGUAGAACAAUGGAGAUUGA
Molecule: long non-coding RNA, 221 nt
Filed under: Brassica napus (rape)
Lineage: Eukaryota; Viridiplantae; Streptophyta; Magnoliopsida; Brassicales; Brassicaceae
Description: long non-coding RNA (BNAP_LNC013452)
Source: RNAcentral